This is a long non-coding RNA of Oncorhynchus tshawytscha (Chinook salmon), 12117 nucleotides long. Lineage: Eukaryota; Metazoa; Chordata; Actinopteri; Salmoniformes; Salmonidae. The record is from Ensembl.
CACUGUACAAAAUAUUUAUUCUUUAAAAGAAUAGAAUUCAUUCAAAAAAUACAUACUUUAACUAUUUGGUGAAAAUAUGAUAAAGCAUAAGCAUUACCACUCAGUAACAUGUUUUUCCCAUAUUUUUUUGUUGCCAUUUUAGAACAUAAUACGAUGCAGCAAACCCUGUUUGGAAGUGCAAAUCACAAAACUAGUGCAAAUUUACAUUAGCAGAGGCAUGCUGAAAUAACACACACUUUGUGCCAAGACUGCUGAAAAACAUCUUUUAUAUCAAACAGUUGCUUUCAGAAAAAAAUACCUAAAUGUUCAAGAUAAAUUGUGACAUCAAGGAGCAUUAGAUAAGACAUAACCAUUCACCAACAUAACAGGUAGUAUUGCACAUUUAGAAACCUCCCGAGUAAAGUACAUAUUGUGCCUUCAGAAAGUAUUCAUACCCCUCAAAUUUUCUCCACAUUUUGUUGUGUUACAGCCUGAAUUUAAAAUGGAUUAAAUUGAGAUUGUGUCACAGAUCUACACACAAUACCCAUAACGUCAAUUUGGAAUUAUGUUUCAAUACAUUUAUACAAAUUAUUUGAAAAUGAAAAGCUGAAAUGUCGAGCCAAUAAGUAUUCAACCCUUUCGUUAUUGCAAACCUAAAUAGGGUCAGGAGUAAAAAUGUGCUUAACAAGUCAGAUAAUAAGUUGCAUGGACUUGCAAUAGUGUUCAACAUGAUUUUUAAAAUGACUACCCCAUCUCCGAGAGCUACUUUAACCAUAUCUACAUGUACAUUCUACAUCAAUUAGCCUGACUAACCGGUGCCUGUAUGUAGCCUCACUACUGUAUAUAGUCUGUCUUUUUACUGUUCUCUUAUUUCUUAACCUACCUAUUGUUCACCUAAUACCUUUUUUGCACUAUUGGUUAGAGCCUGUAAGUAAGCAUUUCACUGUAAGGUCUACUACACCUGUUGUAUUCAGCGCACAUGACAAAUACAUUUUGAUUUGAUUUCUGUACCCCACACAUACAGAUAAUUGUAAGGUUGCUCAGUCAAGCAAUUAAUUUGAAGCACAGAUUCAGCCACAAAGACCAGGGAGGUUUUCCAAUGGUUCGCAAAGGGCACCUAUUGGUAGAUGGGUAAAAAAGCAGACAUUGAAUAUCCCUUUGAUCAUGGUGCAGUUAUUACACUUUGGAUGGUGUAUCAAUACACCCAGUCACUACAAGUACAGUCACCCUUCUUUAAGGAAAGUAAGGAACCUGCUCAGGGAUUUCACCAUGAGGCCAAUGGUGAUUUUAAAACAGUGACAGAGUUUAAUGGCUGUGAAUAGAGAUAACUGAGGAUGGAUCAACAACAUUGUAGUUACUCCACAAUACUAACAUAAAUGACAAAGUGGAAAGAAGGUAGCCUGUACAGAAUAAACUAGGAAUAGAGCUAAGCACAGGCAAAAUCCUCCAGGAAAACUUGGUUCAGUCUGCUUUCCAACAGACACUGGGAGGCAAAUUCACCUUUCAGCAGGACAAUUACCUAAAACACAAGGCCAAAUAUACAUGGGAGUUGCUUACCAAAACAACAUUGAAUGUUCCUGAGUGGCUUUGUUACAGUUUUGACUUAAAUCGUCUUGAAAGUCUAUGGCAAGACUCAAAUGGCUGUACAGCAAUGAUCAAUAACCAACUUGACAGAGUUUGAAGAAUUUUUUAAAAGAAUAAUGUGCAAAUAUUGUACAAUCCAGGUGUGCAAAUCUCUUAGAAGCUUACCCAGAAACUCACAGGUGUAAUUGCUGCCAAAAGGUGAUUCUAACAUUCUAACAUGUAUUGACUCAGGGGGUUGAAUACUUAUGCAAAUUAGAUAUUUUAGUGUUUUAUUUUCCAGUAAUACAAUGUUAUUUGAUUUUUUUUGCCACUUUGACAGAGUAUUUUGUAUAGACCGUUAAUAUAAAUGACAAUUAAAUCCAUUCCACUUUGUAACAACAAAUGUGGAAAUGGUCAAGGUGUGUGAAUACUUUCUGAAGACUAUCUCCCGCAGAAACAGAAAUUCAGGCAAUAGAAACAGAAUAGAAAACACAUCACAAGUAUCAAAGUUAGGAAUUAUUUCAGUGUGUUUCAGUGUGCUUUCGAACUUGACAUCCAUUUAACCCCUACUACCAAGAGCUGCAUUCUGACUUGAGAUACACAAAGUCUAACACACAAAACCUAGUGUUGAAGGCAUUGUAAGAUUUGCCCCCAAGUUCAUUACAAACGCAGUAUCUGUUGAAAAUGUUCAACAAGGUAAGGAUUGGAAAACAGAUCAAUUUCAUUUGACCUCGCUAGUGUCAAACAUGGACAGGAAUGUUGAUAAAGUAUGCGUCCCAAAUUACACCCUAUUCCCUUUAUAUUGCCCUGGUCAAAAGUAAUGCACUAAAAAGGGAAUAAGGUGCCUUUUGGGACUAUGAAAAAAUCUCCUAAAAAGAUUAAUAGGUAGCAAUGUUUAUGUAACUCUUUCCAAGUCAAAAGAUUAUCCUCAGAUUUUAUGUUAAUGUUAUGGGUAGAGAGAAGAAAAACAAAGGGUACAUUGUCCAGCAAUGCCAGAUACAAAAUAACAUGUAAGGUCUACCAAUUCAGUAGUUUCACUGCGACUGUGCAAACAUGACCUGACAAGUAGCAUGCAGUACUGUUACUGUACAUAUACAUUAUCAGGUAUCCUUAAAGUUUUACUAUUAAAUGGAAUGUCGUUACUUUUUCAAUCAUGCUAGUAUCGUACUAAAGCUAGAUUAAAUUCAGUAAAUGUAUUACAUCUUUCAAGUUAAUAUUCCAUAUUCAUAAAAUGCAUUAAGGUGAGCCAGGAAAGGCACCAAAUCCUUCUUGAAGAUCAAAUGAAAUGUCCCUGUGAAGGCCAGUGAGACAGUGAAAACAUUAUGGUUUUAUACCCAUAAAUGGAAUUAUUCAAAUAUAUAGUAGCUAGCUCCUUGGCUGCCUGCUAUUGUGAUUACAAUCUUGCCAGCGUCUAAACUUAAGAGCAUAAAAACAACUAUAAUCGUCUUAAUCUACGAAUCACAUAGUUUGCCCGUUUAGAAUGCAAGAGGUCUGAUAUAUCUGAUAGUUCAGUGUACGCAAACAGUCUUGUGUGAUUAUCAGUCACUAAGAAACAGAGAGGUCAUUUGCCUUUUGUGCCGAACAGCAGGGGGGGGGGGUGUAAGUGCAACCUUGCAGGUCGUGCCAAACAAUGCGGAGGGAGAGAGAUUGGCUUUAGAGUAGUCUGUAGACAUGACUGGAAUUCCACACUGCCUGGCAACAACUCCCAAGAUUGACUCUACCCUUCUAUAUGUGUAACUGGAGAGUACAGGCCCAAGAACAUAAGACAUAAUAAAAAAAUGGAUGCAUGUAAGUCUCUUCGGAUAAAAGCGUCUGCUAAAUGGCAUACAUUAUCAAGAGGCGGACGGAGCGAGAGCAGUGAUCUCAGAGAAGAUUUGAUCCUUCGUAGCACAACAGUUCUGCAGCUCUUACGACAGAAUGCAAGAUUCAUUGGGGUUUUUGAUGCUCUUGGGUUCGUUGCCAUUUGACAGAUCUCCCUCAUCAUCUACUGGGGAGCCUUCAUCAUGGGGCAGCCUUGGCCCGUCACCCUCUUCCAGCUCGGGCAUGUCAGCGCAGGCAUCUUCAUAGGCGCUGAUGCUGUCUGUGUCAUUGUUCCUGUCGGGGGAGAGGUCACGCCCGUUCUCCUCCUGAUUUCUCCCGGGGGUCUGGCUACCGAGUGACAACGGCCCAAAGGUCUUGUUGACUAUCUUUGUGAACUUGGUGAAGCUGUCCUGUGCCCCAUCUGCUACGUCCUCAGAGGACACCAGCUGGGCAACGUGGAUAGGAGAGGGCUGGGUCAGACUGUCAGAAGGCUGCUCCCCCCUCCCCUUUUUGAAGAAGGAAGCGAGCAGCCCCCCAGUGCUGGUCUCAGAUGAUAGCCCAUUGUUGGGCCCGGGGCCCUCACUGUCCAAUCGGAUAAUAGAGAGAGGUGCAUCUUGGCGAGAAUUGUCCUCAUACCUUGGUGCAUCCCUGAUUUGUUCCUGUGCUCCCUUUUUGAUUUGCAUCUCUGUGGCUUGUUGUCUAGCCAUCUCAUCUUCCCUCUCCUGCUCCUUGACAAGUGUGUACACUGGGACUGCUGAUAUGGUGUUCCUCUCCUGUGGAACAGUAUGAUACAACAGCUAUAUUAAUCAUGUUCACAUCAGGGUUGUGUCCCAAAUGGCACCCUAUUCCAUAUAUGGUGUACUACCUUUGACCUGGCUCUGGUCAAAAGUAGUGCAAUAUAUAGGGAAUAGGGUGCCAUUUGGGACACACAACUGUACAGACCUAAGUACAGCAGGGAAACAGGAAGAACAUUUACAUUUUGAUUUUCAUACUGUACAACCAGAUAUAAAAUGUCAAGGCUAGAGGUGGGUGAUAUGAAAACCAGAUUCAACAAGUACAGUCAUAUAAUGCUGCUACUAUUACAAAUAUGAGUCCAAAUCUCUGUCAAAUUAAUUGUAUAGCCUCGUCUCUGGUAGAUCUUGUGCUACACUGUAUUAAUAUAUUCAUAGCUUGAUUUGCAUGGCUUGAGGCAUUGGCUGGGAAAUUAGCCAGGCCAAUUGUCACGUUACCGUUUCCUGAUUGCAAUAGGAAACAGGCAGCAUCUCCAUGUCUGUCAGUAAUUGGCCAGGGCAUCCUACUGCAGAGCAGAGCAAGCACUGGGUACAAGGCCAAGGCCAUUUGACGGGACACACACAACCUUCGGUCACACUGGAUUUACCCAACCACAAGUCCAUGCUGAUGAUCAGAUUACCAAAUUAUUACAACCAAUGUCUCUCAGUCAAUGCAAAAAUGUUUUUGUUAUAAUAUCUACUGAGGUUUCUUAAAGUGAGGAGGAUAUAUAAUAGAGGCAGCUAGGAUAUAUUGUUGAGCUCUUCUUAGGGCUUUAAAUUGCAAACAGGCAACUCCCUUCUAAUCUGCCUCAAGCCUCAGUAGCAGAUAAAUAGACUGUGAUAAGGAUGCGGGUUGAACCCUGAGGGAAAUUUGUCCAUCUUAUAUUGUGCUGUGUGCUGCUCUCUUUAGAUUAGAGUACAAAAUGUACUCCACAGGACUAUUGUCAACACGUAGCAAGUAUAAUUUUAUCAAACAUAUCUCAUUUUAUAGGCUUUGGGCCAGAACAAAUAUCUGUCAAUCAUUUAAAAUUGCCCUACUUUAGGAAUGAUAAUGUGCAUGCACACACACACACACAGAGUGAGAAUAACAGGUAUGGUGGGAGGUUGUCGCCCAGGCUGGAAUUUCCCAGCAGCUGAAACACUUCAUUCUGUCAAGUUCAGCAAAGCACAGUUGAGCUGAAAGAACAAGAGAACACUCCCCUGACAAACGAAAGAGUUACGCAACUAACCAGAGCUGGCAUGCAGCAACAAGCCAUUAGUCACUCUUUAUGCCCAAAACCAGGAAGCCUGCUGUACUUGUGUCUCUCUUUCUAUGAUUAUGUAAGCCCAUCCUCCUCAUCCCCCAUUACCUCUUUUAGCCUCUCCACCUCCUGCAUCAGAGAACUGACAAUGUCCUCCAACUUCCUCUUCGCCUCUCUCUCUCGCUCCACCUCCUACAAGUGCAGAGAGACACAUUAGCAGCGUCAGUCCAUUUAUGACCCUUUAGAUCAAUUCAGCAGAGGGUAGUGAAGUGUUUUAGAGCAGUGGUUCUUAAAACGGUGGGUUGGGACCCACAGUUGGGUCACAGGAAAUUGGACAUUCCUACUGGAGCAUUGCGUUGCUCCACGAGGACCAUUUUACAUGUACAGUGCCUUCGGAAAGUAUUCAGACCCCUUGACUUUUUCCGCACUUUGUUGUUACAGCCUUAUUCUAAAAUGUAUUAUAUAAAUACAAACCCUAGGCAAUCUACACACAAUACCCCAUAAUGACAAAGAAAAAACAUGUUUUUCUUCAAAUUUCUUAAAUUGAAUUACAAAUAAAAAACAGAAAUACCUUAUUUACAUAAGUAUUCAGACCCUUUGCUAUGAGACUCGAAAUUGAGGCGCAUCCUGUUUCCAUUGAUCAUUCUUGAGAUGUUUCUACAACUUGAUUGGAGUCCACCUGUGGUAAAUUAAAUUGAUUGGACAUGAUUUGGAAAGGCACACACCUGUCUAUAUAUAAGGUCCCACAGUUGACAGUGCAUGUCAGAGAAAAGAAAAACAAGCCAGGAGGUCGAAAUAAUUGUUCCGUAGAGCUCAGAGUCAGAACUGUGUCGAGGCACAGAUCUGGGGAAGGGUACCAAAAAAUGUUUGCUGCUUUGAAGGUCCCCAAGAACACAGUGGCCUCUAUCAUUCUUAAAUGGUAGAAGUUUGGAACCACCAAGACUCUAACCUAGAGCUGGCCGCCUGGCCAAACUGAGCAAUCGGGGGAGAAGGGCCUUAGUCAGGGAGGUAACCAAGAACCUGAUGGUCAAUCUGGCAGAGCUCUAGAGUUCCUCUGUGGAGAUGGGAGAACCUUUCAGAAGAACAACCAUUUUUGCAGCACUCCACCAAUCAGGCCUUUAUGGUAGAGUGGCCAGAUGGAAGCCACUCUUCAGUAAAAGGCACAUGACAGCCUGCUUGGAGUUUAACAAAGGCACCUAAAGACUCUCAAACAAUGAGAAACAAGAUUCUCUGGUCUGAUGAAACCAAGAUUGAACUCUAUGGCCUGAAUGCCAAGCGUCACGUCUGGAGGAAACCUGGCACCAUCCAUACGGUGAAGCAUGGAGGUGGCAGCAUCAUGCUGUGGGGAUAUUUUUCAGCGGCAGGGACUGGGAGACUAGUCAGGAUCGAGGGAAAGGUGAACGGGGCAAAAGUACAGAGAGAUCCUUGAUGAAAACCUGGUUCAGGACCUCAGACUGGGGCAAAGGUUCACAUUCCAACACGACAACGACCCUGAGCACCUAGCCAGGAUAACACAGGAGUGGCUUUGGGACAAGUCUCUGAAUGUCCUUGAGUGGCCCAGCCAGACCCCGGACUUGAACCCAAUCGAACAUCUUGUAGAGACCUAAAAAUAGCUGUGCAGCAACACUCCUCAUCCUACCUGGCAGAGCUUAUGAGGAUCUGCAGAGAAGAAUGGGAGAAACUCCUCAAAUACAGGUGUGCCAAGCUUGUGACAUCAUACCCAAGAAGACUUUAGCCUGUAAUGGCCGCAAAAAGGUGCUUCAACAAAGUACUGAGUAAAGGGUCUGAAUACUUAAACUACCGUUAAAAAGUUUGGGGUCACUUAGAAAUACCUUGUUUUUUAAGGAAAAGCACAUUUUUUGUUCAUUAAAAUAACAUGAAAUUCAGUGUAGACAUUGUUAAUGUUAGAAAUUACCAUUGUAGCUGGAAAUGGCAGAUUUUUAACGGAAUAUCUACAUAGGCAUUUGGAGGCCCAUUAUCAGCAACCAUCACUCCUGUGUUCCAAUUGCACGUUGUGUUAGCUAAUCCAAGUCAUUUUAAAUGGGUUCGAUUACAGAGUCAAAAUGGUCAGAAACUCGUCAGUCUAUUCUUGUCCUGAGAAAUUAAGUCUAUUCCAUGCGACAAAUUGCCAGGAAACUGAAGAUCUCUUAAGCUUUUCUUUAAAAAACAAGGACAUUUCUAUGUGAACCCAAACUUGUGAAUGGUAGUGUACGUAAAUGUGAUUUCAUAAUUAGUUUUUUUAUAAAAUGAGCAAAAAUGUAUUUAAAAAAACACUUUUUCCUUGUCAUUAUGGAGAAUUGUGCGUAGAUUGAUGAAGUAAAAAAACUAUUUUAUACAUUUUUGAAUAAGGUAACGUAACAAAAUGUGGAAAAAUACAAGGGGUCUGAAUACUUUCCGAAGGCACUGUAUAUUACAUGUACAUUCCAUUUUGGCAAUUUAUCCAGAGAAACAUAGUCAGUACAUUCUGCUAAAGGUUGGUAAGACAACAACAUAUCACAGUUACUGCAAGGAAAAACAUUCCUCAAUAAAUUUGUUUAUCAGCUAUUUUUAGAGUGAUGACCCCACCCUUAAGCCUCUCGGAAUGUGGCUUUAGCGGAUUCAUGGCUAGAAAGGAGUGAGUGCAUCCUAAAUGGCACCCUAUUCACUAUAUAGUGCACUCUCACUAUAGGCGCUGGUCAAAAGUAGUAAACUAUGUAGGGAACAGGGUGCCAUUUGGGAAGCAUCUAGUGUGUAUGACUAGGUGUACCAUGGUGGCGUGGCUGGCCUCUCUCUGGGCCUCAGCCAGCAUCUCCUCGGCCCCCUCCAGGGCGUCCUGCAGAACGUCCACCUGGAACAACAGAGUCUCCCGCUGCAGCUCCAGCCCACGCAGCUCCUGCAACACAUCGUCGUAGCUUGCCUGCAGGUCAUUCUGCAUGAGAGAUGUAUUCAUUAGUCAUCAGUGGGCAGCUUGAUUGAUGUAUACACAGGCAUAUCAGCUUCAUAUGGCUAAGAGAAAAAUUAUCUGUACCAAAUGGCAUCCUAUUCCCUUUAUAGUGUACUACUUUUGACAAAAGUGAAUAGGGUACCAUUUGGAUCUCAGACAAACAAUAUACAUUAGGCAUGACAGGGUGCAGCUUCCUCUAAUCACACUAGCAACAACGGUGAUUUAAUUAACAUGUGAUUUGCUCAUCAACUGUUGGAUAAUGAUGUCAUUGCUCUGAUAGCUAUUUCUGGCCCAUGGUCGUCCUUAUCUGCGUCAUACCAGGGUUGUCUUCUUCUUUAUAUGGCAGAGUUACUGGCAUUACAACACAUAAUCGAACUGGAGCAAAGUUAUUUCUAAUAUAUUUCUGGGCUAUUUGGUGUUAGCUUCAUAAAGAGUGUGCACCCUUUGAAUAUGCAGCACAGUCUGUGAGAAUGUCUAAUUUGACAUCCAGUAGAACUGGUUAUACUGCUAAAAUAUGAAAACGUUAUCCUGCAAAACAUAAUUAAAACAGCUUGUGCGGAUAAUCACCAUCUCAGGGAGUUCCAUCAGUUCCUGAUCUUCCACAGACUGCUGAAAUGACCAAGAAAAAGGUAAACAAGACUCAUCAACAAGUAAUAUAUGAGAAGUUUGAGUAUACUCCGUACAUUUAAUAACAGUGAUAGAAUCAGAAGUAAUCAUGUUUAAAUGACAGACCAUAGUAGGCCAGUGUCCGAAAUGGCACCCUAUUCCCUAUAUAGUGCACUACUUUUGACCAGAGCCCUAUGGGGAAUAGGGUGGCAUUUGGGCCGCAAACCUAAUUAUGCCAGUAACUUCAGGCCAUUUCCAUGUAAAAGGAUCCAUGAAGUGAAGUUAUCCAGAGAAGUUCAUAGGAGCACAUCAAAUUUAGUGUCAAAUGAAAGCUACCCAGUGUUCUAAGGCACUGUAUCUCGGCGCAAGAGACGUCACUACAUUCACUGGUUCGGUUCCAGGCUGUAUCACAUCCGGCCGUGAUUGGGAGUCCCAUAGGACGGCGCACAAUUGGCCCAGCAUCGUCCAGGUUUGGCCGGGGUAGGCCAUCAUUGUAAAUAAGAAUUUGUUCUUAACUGACUUACCUAGUGAAAUAAAAGGUUACAUUUAAAAAAUGUUAAUUAAAUUCUCCAGGCACCACUACUCUCCUGUUAAUGUCACCUCUCACUGACACCUACCCAUGAGGCCCCUCUCUUUCAAUUUACUGUAACCAGCGAACUCACCCAAUGAGCACCGACCGACACCGGUCCAUGGACGUUGAGAAGUAGUUGAAAUUAGUCUUAUGGCUUGGGGGAAGAAAAUGUUAAGAAGCCUCUUGGACCUAGACUUGGCUCCGGUACCACUUGCCAUGCAGUAGCAGAGAGAACAGUCUAUGACUAGGGUGGCUGGAGUCUUUGACAAUUUUUAGGGCCUUCCUCUGACACUGCCUGGUAUAGAGGUCCUGGAUGGCAGGAAGCUUGGCCCCAUUGGUGUACUGGGCCGAGCAGUUGCCAUACCAGGCAGUGAUGCAACCAGUUAGGAUGCUCUUGAUGGUGCAGCUGUAGAACUGUUUGAGGAUCUGAGAACCCAUGCCAAAUCAGUCAAUUGAAAAUAAAUUAAUUAGACCCUAAUGUAAUGGAUUUCACAUGACUGAGAAUACAGAUAUGCAUCAGUUGGUCACAUAUAGCUUUAAAAGGUAGGGGCAUGGAUCAGAAAACCCCUCAGUAUCUGGUGUGACCACUAUUUGCCUCAUGCAGCGCAACACAUCUCCUUCGCAUAGAGUUCAUCAGGCUGUUGAUUGUGGCCUGUGGAAUGUUAUCCCACUCCUCUUCAAGGUCUGUGCGAAGUUGCCGGAUAUUUGUGGGAACUGGUCCACGCUGUUGUACACGUCGAUCCAGAGCAUCCCAAACAUGCUCAAUGGGUGACAUGUCUUAUGAGUAUGCAGGCCAUGGAAGAACUGGGACAUGUACAGAUCCUUGCGACAUCAAAUCAAAGUUGAUUUGUCACGUGCUCCGAAUACAACAGGUAUACAGUGAAAUGGGGCUGUGCAUGAUCAUGCUGAAACAUGAGGGGAUGAUGGGGGAUGAAUGGCAUGACAAUGGACCUCAGGAUCUCGUCACGGUAUUACAAUCGAUAAAAUACAAUUGUGUUUGUUGUCGGUAGCUUAUGCCUGCCCAUACCAUAACCACAACUUCACCAUGGGGCACUCUGUUCAACAUUGACAUCAGAAAACCACUCACCCACACAACGCUAUACAUGUGGUCUGCGGUUGUGAGGCUGGUUGAACGUACUGACAAAAUGUCUAAAACAACGUUGGAGGGGGCUUAUGGUUGAGAAAUGAACAUUCAAUUAUCUAGCAAAGUUGAUCAACAACUGAUGGGCAUUCCUUCAAUCAGUAUGCCAAUUGCACGCUCCCUCAAAACUUGAGACAUCUGUGGCAUUGUGUUGUGUGACAAAACUGCACAUUUUAGAGCGGCCUUCUAUUGUUCCCAGCACAAGGUGCACCUGUGUAAUGAGCAUGCUGUUAAAUCAGCUUCUUGAUAUGCCACAUCUGUCUGGUGGAUGGAUUAUCUUUGCAAAGGAGAAAUGCUCACUAACAGGGAUGUAAUCAAAUUUGUGCACACAAUUUCUGAGAAAUAAGCAUUUUGUGCACAUGGAAUAUUUCUGGGAUCUUUUAUUUCAGCUCAUGAAUCAAACACUUGACAUGUUGAGUUUAUAUUUAUGUUCAGUGUACUCCUUUUGUAUAGAUUUGUACGGUUUGUUUAACUUUGCAAUCAAUGGUUUUUCUUUGGCAUACAUCUAAAUGUGAAAACUUGAGCCUCUGCAUCAUUCUGUUAGCAUGGAAUUGCCCUUCAUCCAUUACACUUAUUAUACCUGACUCCCACUUCUCCUCUUGAGGGUCCCCCCUCUGCUGUCACUGUGCGUCAGACGCCUGGUCGAACUCUCCGUCUGACAAAGGAACAAAAAUACAUCUCAGGCAGAGCCAUAAUAGAGUGGCGAGGAGAAGCUCCGACGACCCUUCGUGCCAGGAAGUAAAAUAGUCAAUCAUUGUAGCCAUUGGCGCUCUGUAGAGUUGCUAUUUUCUCGUGACAGUUAAAUUGUGACAUUCCUGCAUUGCUCAUUAUACUAACAAUGUCUGAAUUAAUCACCAAAUACGGUAGUCAGUUUAAAAAGGUUAAGGGUACAAGACUGUGUACAUAUCUGGCUGUGUUGGCAAAAUCACUAGAUAUCCAGUCGAGCCAAGCGGGGAGAAGAUGCCUGUUGUCACAGUUCCAAGACCAGUCUUAAACGUCCGGUAAUUUACACUAAUUGAUCUCAAAACUGAACUUCGAUCCGCGUUAGCUAGCAGAUAUCCUUCGCCACCGUCGUCAUAUGCCAAAUAUCUCGAACCAAUCAUGACUAUUCAACAAAAUAAAAUGAGAUAUAAUUUUCACGUUUCUUAGUAACAUGAUUGUAUAACUAGCAAAGUUGUUUAGACGUUGAGGCUGCAGUAUUUAUGAAGUUUGGAAAUAAGGACAAACUAGCAUAGUUCAGCUAGCCAGCUUGUUUAGCCAGGGAAAACGAGCUCCGCCCUAGUACACUAGGCUAAUUUAGGAGACUUUAUUCACUGAUAUCAGGAGCUAGAGACAAACGAAUUAAUCAUAUUUGAGGAGCGUGAAUCGAUAUUAUAGAGUGGUGAAGAGGAGUCUACCGAGUAUGGACGCAAUUUCACCAUACAUUUGUUUCUUUAUCAGGGUUCACUCAAAUCGUUUCAAUAUUGACAGUUACAGCUGAUUUCGGGAUUGUAUAUGUUUACAAAAGCAAUAACUGUUUACAU